UGAAGCCUCCCCCCCAAAAAAAGAAGAAAGCCACUCCUCCUCACCCAGCAGAGCUCGUUACAGUACCCUGCCACGUCAAUCCGGAAUCUGCUCAGGGCUGCUGCUAAGGAUGGAUGGAGACUGACUUCUCCCCUCUGCUUGGGCGACUUCAUUUCAUUUUUAUCUCCACAAGGUUUUCUGUUUUUAAACUAGUUGUAACACCCGCCAAACAGUGUUUUUUUAUUUAUUUAUUUAAUUUAAAUUCUUAGAAUGGCUUAAAGAAAACUAGAUGGACAUCUACAGCUUCAGAUAAAGAGGAAAGAUAGAUGCAACCAUGGCUUGAAACAUCUUUCCUUCAGGUUGUGAAGACACUCUUCUGGUUUGGGGACUGGGGGGGAAUUGACAGGCAAUACCAUUGUGGACCUAACUGGACUCUUUGUGAAUUGUAUGGAAUAAACGUGCCUUGCAGUCUUGGCGUAACCCAUGCUAAAAACUAUGUGAUAACUUAUCUAUUUUUUAAUGUAAUAAAAAAAGGACAAUUGGUGGCCUAUUUUUCUUGAUUUGAGUUUAAAUUGAAUUUUGUGCAAAAAAACAAAACAAAACAAAAAAAAAACGAAAAAAAUGUUAAUGCAAAACUCGGAUCAGAAAUAUAAAAUCAAGAUAAUAUUUUGAGUAAUCUUGAAAAAACAUGCUAUAUAACAGUGUUUAUCAUUUACAAAGUAUGAAAAUCCCAUAGAAAUGGUUUCCAUGGUUCAUUUGCCCUGUAAAUUGAUCAAGCACAUUUUGCACAUUUUUAGAUACCUUAGUGUCCAUGUGCUUUGCUAGGUAUUCUAAGCUUUACAAUUGCUAUAUCCUGGAGUACAUAGCAAACACUAAGAGUGCUGCAUCUUCAAAACGGGUUCUGUCUACUUGACAGAGCCCUAAAAAUGAGGCUCAGCCAAAUUUGGGACAUCUGUUUCCUUUGAAAAGUCAUUGUUUUUUUUUUUCCAGCAGGACUCAGUUUGGGGCUGUUUGAGAACUAUACCAAUAUUACUUUCAAAGUAAAAAGCUAAAUAAAAGGUGUUUUUUUUUUUUUUUAAACAUGAAAAAUUGCACACAAAAGAAAAUAAUUGCAUCUGUAUGAAUAUCAUAACCUCGUUCUGUUGUCAGAUAGUAUUUUAUUGUCAUGUCUUUUUUAAAUUGGAGAACAUAUAAUUUAUAAACAAGUUAUUUGUGAUUCUUACAGAUUUUAUGAAAUGAUAUUGUUGUUUUCUAAUGGCCCUCUUUUUAAGUUUUUUUUUUUUUUUUUUUUGGGGGGGGGGGGGGGUUGGCAGUCUCCAUAUCCCAAUUGUUACAGUGAAGUGGCUGUGUGUGUGUGUGUGUGUGUGUGCUCUGCUCCGCCUGGACUCUCCACUUGCCCGAUCCCUGGAGGCAGCACACCGGCCCGCCCCGCCUGCCCAGUGUUCAGACUACCUGUUCAGGAAGUUCUGGUUGUACAGUAGUCUGCACAUUGGUUAGGCUGUGUGGGGGAGCUCGAGGGGGAAGCGAAAAGGACGCCCGACGCACACCCUGCCUCUCAUCAUAUACAACUAGAAAUAUUUUAAUAAUGCAGGUUGCUUUUCAAGACUAUCAAAUAAAAAGCAAUAGGACAGAACUCCCUCUGUAUUCAUUAUCUGAUUUACUCAUUAAGUACCACUUUUUUUAAAUCAGAGCAUAAGCUGUAUUUAUGUAAUUUGAUACAUUCUAAAGCAAUAUUUAUGCACAAAAAUAAAAUGUAAUCCUUUGUUUUCGUUACAAACUGCCGUGUCUUAUUUUGAGGACAGUCCAGUUAGACACACCCUUAAUCAGAGUAGUGAAAUUUCAUGUCGGCUAUGAAGCUCAACACUGGAAAAUGGAGCUGCUUUAUCGUCACUGUGGGGAAGAAAAACCACCAAGAAAUGUAUCAUUUUUAGGCUUCAGUUUCUUAUUUUAUAUUGACGCAUCACAAAAGCAUUUGAAGAGCUCUGUUUGCAGAAUUAACAGCUGCAUUUAGACUUAUUACACUUACAGUAAACAAAAUGAGAGUAAGUUAUCAUAACAAUAUAGUUAAAGAGAAAUUUUAAAUAACAGGUAGAUGCCAGUUAAAAAUGGACCAAAAAAUGACAAAGUAGCCACUCAGUGGGUUUUUAGAGAUUGUGCUUUAUCCAUUGUUCUUAUUUUAUUAAAUUUGUUUUUGUUUUAUUUUGUUGUUGUUAUUUUUAUCAGUAUUAUAAUUAUUUACUUGUAUUUUGUAUUUGCUACUGCAUUUCCUGAUACUGCACACUCUUGUUCUGUUUUAAUGAACAUCUAAAGCACUGUGGUGCUGAUACUGAUA
Molecule: long non-coding RNA, 2311 nt
Organism: Polyodon spathula (Mississippi paddlefish)
Lineage: Eukaryota; Metazoa; Chordata; Actinopteri; Acipenseriformes; Polyodontidae
Exons: 2
Source: RefSeq, a predicted model, not a curated record